AACGAACGCUGGCGGCAUGCCUAACGCAUGCAAGUCGAACGAGAUCUUCGGAUCUAGUGGCGCACGGGUGCGUAACGCGUGGGAAUCUGCCCCUUGCUUCGGAAUAACAGUGAGAAAUUACUGCUAAUACCGGAUGAUGUCUCCGGACCAAAGAUUUAUCGGCAAGGGAUGAGCCCGCGUAGGAUUAGGUAGUUGGUGGGGUAAUGGCCUACCAAGCCGACGAUCCUUAGCUGGUCUGAGAGGAUGAUCAGCCACACUGGGACUGAGACACGGCCCAGACUCCUACGGGAGGCAGCAGUGGGGAAUAUUGGACAAUGGGCGAAAGCCUGAUCCAGCAAUGCCGCGUGAGUGAUGAAGGCCUUAGGGUUGUAAAGCUCUUUUACCAGGGAUGAUAAUGACAGUACCUGGAGAAUAAGCUCCGGCUAACUCCGUG
This 433-nucleotide ribosomal RNA is filed under the name uncultured bacterium. RNAcentral describes it as "partial 16S ribosomal RNA". It matches the Rfam family "Bacterial small subunit ribosomal RNA", at positions 29 to 507 of the family's 1533-position model. The record is from RNAcentral.